GGGGAGAGGGAUCAAACUGACGUGCGAAGCAGGGUAGCCAGGCCGGGCUCUAGAGUAGCCCCUUCCUCCUCGCCUCGUCAGCCCUGAGGCUACCCUCGUGGGGAAAGUGGGGGCUCAACGGUCUCGUCUUUUACGAAGCAGAUGGACUCCUGGACUCUAGGGCCUCGAACUGUUUGGGAGACUGAUGGGCAGCAGCCUUAUGCAGCCGGAGGGCCGGCGGUCAGUCAGUGGGCUUGGCCCGCGCUGGCGUCUGGCCCAGCUGUCGAAGCUCGGCUGGUCCAAGCUUGCUGCUGGCCCGGAGCUAACUGGGUCCCCUGAUGGCUGGGAUGAAGAGUGCAAUGCAUGUUUCAAAGAGGGCAUGCUUCCUUCACCUGGGUCCCAGGAUGGUGGAACAAAGCUGAAGAUGACUGUGAUUGACAAACAUGAAGAGAAAUAAACCUUACUGUAAGUAAUUUCAACUGGGGGGGUUAUUACCUUAGAAUGACUUAGGUUGAUCAGUGUAUUGCCCAAACUGAAUGAAGACAAACCAUGAGACUAGUAUUAAUUACGAGUAUUUGAGAACUGUAAAAGAUAGGCAGUUGACCUCUAGAGCAGUUGAAACUGAAUACCACUGAAAGGACAAUCAGAAUAUUCUCAUAUUCAGAAUAGGCAUUCUCUUUCAGAGACGAUGAAAACCAGAGUUCAAGUAAGAGAUGUUUGAUUGGUAUUUCAACAUGCCAUACAUUUUGGGACACUCUUAACUGUAGGAAAUCAUUGGUGGUUAAAUUAUGAGCUCCAUAUAAAUUAUGCUAUGUUGGUUUUAUGUUACUAAAUCUAAUAUUGGGUUAACAUUUGAAAUUUGUCAUAUUUUCUAAGCUCUGAAAAAGAAAAAUGAACCUGGAUUUUUGUCUCUAUGCUCAUCAAAUGGUAACAUCAUAUUGCUAAUUUGGGAAAUAAUUACUAAACUCUACUAAAAUCAUUGUUCAUGGAGCUAAAUCCAAAAUUCAGACAUUUGGGGAAAAAAAGAGUCCACAGCAAUGUAUUUUGAUGUUCUUGGGUAAAGAGGAAUCAGUAUUCAUCCUCAGUAUAGAUUGGAUUCCUUCAAACUAUCUUUACUUUUCAAGCAUCUAACAUUCACAGUUAGCAUGUGAGUCCCUCUAUCUAAUAAAAAGUCACAAGAGGCAGCUCUACACAAGAAAGAUUGAUUUGUGAUAUGCUGCUUCUCAUAAUGACACCACCAUGUGGUAUGUUCUGAGGUGGAGCUUUAUUCAUAUGCACCCCAGAUAGUAAAACAAACAGUGUAAUGUAUAAAAAGAAAAUCUCUUUAGAAACAACCUAAAUGUUUAUCAAUAGGAGAAUGGAUCAAAAUAACGUGAUAUUUCCACAUAAUGGGGUAAAAUAUAUUAUGUAAAAUUAAUGAUCCUAAAAGUAUCACAUAUUAAAGUGAAUGUUCAAAACCAAGUUAUAGAUGUAUACAUAUAUACACACACACACACACACACAUAUAUAUAUAAUGAUACCAUGAUUAUAAAAUUGUAAAACAUGCAAAAUGAACAUUAUUUAUGAGUUUCAUAUAUGGUUUAAAACAUUUCAAAUGUGUAUAGGAAUGAUUAACAUCAAAUUUAGUGCAGUGGUUAUUAUCUUUGGUUAUAUGUAAUAGCGAAUGGGAUUGAAGAAAUGUACACAGAGCUUCAACUGUAUCUAUAAUGACUGAUUUUUUAAAAAAAUAACUUUAAAAUCUGAAGUGAAUAUGGUACCUGGUUACCUUGAUACACAGGUGUUUGCUAUAUUCUCUCUCUUUUUCUCUGUGUUUGAAAUAUUUCAUGGGGUCCUAUUGUACAGUACAGGGAACUGUGUCCAAUCUCUUGGGUUAGAAGAUGAUGGAAGAUAGUAUGAAAAAGAAAAAAAA
RNAcentral lists this long non-coding RNA (1888 nucleotides) under Sus scrofa (pig). RNAcentral's name for it is "lncRNA (ENSSSCG00045024133.1)". Lineage: Eukaryota; Metazoa; Chordata; Mammalia; Artiodactyla; Suidae. The record is from RNAcentral.